GAUGAACGCUGGCGGCGUGCCUAAUACAUGCAAGUCGAGCGAACAGACGAGGAGCUUGCUCCUCGGUCGUUAGCGGCGGACGGGUGAGUAACACGUGGAUAACCUACCUAUAAGACUGGGAACACUUCGGGAAACCGGAGCUAAUACCGUAUAAUAUAUUGAACCGCAUGGUUCAAUAGUGAAAUACGGUGUUGCUGUCUCGUAUAGAUGCAUACGCGCUGGAUUAGCUGGUUGGUAAGGUAACGGCUUACCAAGGCAACGAUGCGUAGCCGAACGGAGUGGGGGAUAGGCCACCCGGGAACUGAGACGCGGUCCAGGCUCCUACGGGAGGGAGCAGUAGGGAAUCUUACGCAAUGGGCGAGAGCCUGACGGAGCAGCGCCGCGUGAGAGAUGAAGGUCUUCGGAUCGUAAAACUCUGUUAUGAGGGAAGAACAAAUGUGUAAGUAACUAUGCACGUAGUGACGGUAACUAGUCAGAAAGCAACGGCUAACUACGUG
This 497-nucleotide ribosomal RNA is filed under the name uncultured bacterium. RNAcentral describes it as "partial 16S ribosomal RNA". It matches the Rfam family "Bacterial small subunit ribosomal RNA", at positions 28 to 507 of the family's 1533-position model. The record is from RNAcentral.